AAGAAAAAAGAGAAAACAAAAGAGAAUCGCCAGAAGAAGAAGAAGAUUGCUGAUCCUAACAAACCGAAGAAACCCGCAUCCUCAUUCCUUCUAUUCAGCAAAGAGGCAAGGAAGAACUUGUUGGAAGAGAGGCCGGGAAUUAAUGACUCUACCCUUAAUGCCCUCAUUUCAGUGAAAUGGAAGGAAUUGAGUGAAGAAGAUAAGCAAACCUGGAAU
Molecule: non-coding RNA, 216 nt
Organism: Camellia sinensis
Lineage: Eukaryota; Viridiplantae; Streptophyta; Magnoliopsida; Ericales; Theaceae
Source: RefSeq, a predicted model, not a curated record